Molecule: transfer RNA, 73 nt
Filed under: Phytophthora ramorum (sudden oak death agent)
Lineage: Eukaryota; Oomycota; Peronosporomycetes; Peronosporales; Peronosporaceae
Rfam family: tRNA
About the family: Transfer RNA (tRNA) molecules are approximately 80 nucleotides in length. Their secondary structure includes four short double-helical elements and three loops (D, anti-codon, and T loops).
Source: Rfam by way of RNAcentral
GGACGCAUAGCUCAAAUGGCAAGAGCAUCGCGUUUUAUGCGGACGUACGCAGAUUCGAUUCCCGCCGUGUUCA